ACGACAAAGAUCCUACGCCGUUUGGCCAAUCAUAUUCCAUAAUCGCAGCCGAGUUCCAUAAUCGCAGUUGACCUAGAACGGGAUUGGCCGGACGACGUACAAUCUUCGUCGUCCGAGAGACAUCGAACGAGGGGUACAUCGACUGAAUAUACAUUGCGAUUCAAUAUUCAGUAGGUAUUUUAUGACCGUGAUUGCAAUUUGCAUUUGAGCUCAGCAGUCGAGUAAGUUGUGCCAAAAAUACCAGAAGUGUUGCAUGCCCUGGAUGCAGAAAAACAAGAUUGAAAUGAGUGGAUCAAGUUGUAUCUUUCGUGCAGAUGUAGAUAUCAAGACAAGAUGUACCUUUCACUUAAGAUCCAUGCAGGCGCAAGCUCUGGAUGAACUUCUGCGGUGACGUCGGCAUUCUUACAGGAGAACCCAAGAUUCGCUGUACCUGUAUGCAUUUCAAAACUGAAUAAUUGAUAGCAACAAGUAAAUAUUUGAAGUUGCAGCCAAAUGCUGUGCCUUCUCUGCUGCAAGAACUACAUGUCACCAUUGAAGCAAGGACCAGCUCGACUCCUGCAGUAGGACUCCAGCCUCGUCCAGUCGUCGCCGC
This 592-nucleotide long non-coding RNA is filed under the name Amphibalanus amphitrite. Its description in RNAcentral is "uncharacterized LOC122366054". Lineage: Eukaryota; Metazoa; Arthropoda; Thecostraca; Balanomorpha; Balanidae. The record is from RNAcentral.